AGCUAACCAGCCCUCUGCAACACAGCAAGUGACCAGUGUCAUUGACUUAGAUAGUGUUGCCACAGUGAACCAGACUCCAUCAGCUAGCAAUGACGACUACCUUUCGAUCAUGGGUUCCAUCUCCGACCUUUCUUCUGAUGAUGACGACGAAUUAAACCAGGCUAUAAUGGCCAGUCUUGAGAGUCAUGCGGAAUCUCAACACCAAAACACUAAAUCAGCACAGGAGGUGCUCCUCAGUCUUGCAUUCCAAAUUGACAGUAACCAAAGAUGCAGAUUCAGCAUUAAUAGAUCUUCAGUAUUGGAUGGUGCUCUGUGGGGCUUUAGGCGAUUGUCCUAUAAUCCCAGGUACCAGAUGUGUAUCAAGUUUUCAGAUGACUUGGGAAUGGAUGAAGAGGCUGUGGACCUUUGUGGCCCUCGGAGUUACGGUUGCUCAUGGAAGCUCUAGCACUGUCACCAAUGUUUGAAGGAAGAGAUGGCAAGUUGGACUUGGCUUUGGACAGUUCAGCUUUAAGAGAAGAUCAAUAUUUUAUCACUGGCCAGGCCAUUGCUGCAAGUCUUGUCCAUGGGAGGAUUCAUUGCACCAACACUGUAUUCUCGUGUAGUUGAUGCCAAUUCCUCAAAGCCUGUCUUGGAAGACAUUGCUGAUACAGACCUCUAUGAGAAGGUUCAAAAGGUGUCGGAAUGUACGCCUUUGGAUGACCUAAUUGACGCUACUGAACCACUGCAAGAUUACCUGGCAAAUGCUGGGUGUCUCAAGCCAUUGAAAUGCAUUGACGACAAAGAUCUUCUGGUUCAAGAUAUUCUGAUGUUUCAGGUGAUCCACAGAGUCUGCGGGGCAUUUGAAAGAUUUCGGGAGGGGCUGAAGACUCUUGGUGUUCUGGAUGCAAUCAGAAUGCAUCCAGACAGUUUUAGACUCUUAAUGUGUCACAAACCGUCCCCACUCACUGCUGACUUAAUGGAUCACCUUUUCCACAUCCGGCUGUCUGCAGUGGGAAGCAACAAGAGAAGGGCAGAGGAACAUGUUGUUCCAUUUUGGAGGGAUUACCUACAAGAUGUUGAAGAUAAAUAUUGCUGCUAGAUAUGGCACUGUCUCUCAUGUUUUUGUCAUGUUUACAAAGUGUACAGAUACUUGGC
Molecule: long non-coding RNA, 1134 nt
Organism: Epinephelus fuscoguttatus (brown-marbled grouper)
Lineage: Eukaryota; Metazoa; Chordata; Actinopteri; Perciformes; Serranidae
Exons: 5
Source: RefSeq, a predicted model, not a curated record